GAUGAACGCUAGCGGCAGGCUUAAUACAUGCAAGUCGAGGGGUAACAUGGUAGCAAUACGGAUGACGACCGGCAAACGGGUGCGGAACACGUACAGAACCUUCCUUUAAGCGGGGGAUAGCCCAUAGAAAUGUGGAUUAAUACCCCAUAGUAAUGUUUAAUGGCAUCAUUAGAUAUUUAAAGAUUUAUCACUUAAAGAUGGCUGUGCGGCUGAUUAGGUAGUUGGUGCGGGAACGGCCACCAAGCCAGCGAUCAGUAACUGGUGUGAGAGCACGACCAGUCACACGGGCACUGAGACACGGGCCCGACUCC
This 311-nucleotide ribosomal RNA is filed under the name uncultured bacterium. Its description in RNAcentral is "bacterial SSU rRNA". It matches the Rfam family "Bacterial small subunit ribosomal RNA", at positions 28 to 339 of the family's 1533-position model. The record is from RNAcentral.